CUCAAGAUAAUUCUGGAAACCUCUGUUUCCCCCUCGGCCGUUGAAGUUUUCAUUGAGAGCUUUUGCCUUCUCCGAACAAUUUAAGGGUCGAAAAAGCCAGCUGAUACAGAUGAAGAAAUUGUAAAUCAAUUCGGUUGUGAAUCAUCAAAACUUAUCAUGGUGGGUGAUAGGCCGUUUACAGACAUAGUUUAUGGUAUCAAAAAUGGCUUUCUUACUAUUUUCACAGAGCCAUUAAGUUGUGCAGAGGAGCCAUUAAUUGUACAGUAGAUUUCUUUUCAUAUUUCAUCCCACUCAGACGCUUCUUGCCGUCGCCGUAGGAAUCCAUAUAAUCGAAUUCGAUACGUACACGGAAAAUAAGAUUGCUUCGAUUGAUAUUAGUUCGCCUGUUGUUCGUAUAGCUUAUAGUCCAACAAGUGGACAUUGUGUAAUUGCUAUUAUUGAGGUUAGUCAUUAAAUAUCUUCAAUUCUUUUUGUUAAAACCUACAAAUGAUAACACUUGUUGCGUUAACAUGAACGCAAGUGUGCUGAAAGAUCAUGGCAUUAGGCUCAUGUGCUAACUUUGUAUGCCCGGAAAUAAUUAACUGGACAACUUCAUCUUUCCAGGAUGAAAAUAGUUGAAUGGGCUCUUAGAUCUGAUUUAUUGAGAAACCAUGAGAAAAUACUUUAGAUGGUGAUAUACUGGCUUAAGUUUUAGUGGUAAUUUGUUUGUCUAGGAAGGGUGAUUAUUAGAUCCAACUACACAAGAGACUUCCAUUUGCACGGUGCAAUUGAAAACCUUAGUUUUCUUUGUUUGAGACAAGGGUUGGGUGCUGGGGUAUUAUCAUCUAGCAUUCCACUGAAAAUAGCAGAUAAUUGUUCAUUUAGCUCUUUCUUUUUAACCUUAUAAUGAAAAGCUCUUUUCUUUUCUGUUUCUCAUUUUUGCAUUAUUAAUAUUCAUUUUCCAGUUGGGUAUAGAAUUUUCUUGAAAUUUAUGAUGUUUACCUUUUUGGAUUUUAUCGAUGUUUCUGUUAAUUGGAUUUCAUGAAAAAAAAUAAAUGGGAAGAUUUGGUUAAUUACUGCUUUAGCUUUAGUUUUGUUCAGAUUCAGGUAAAGUUUAGUUUUUUUCCUUGGUGGGGUUUUGUUUUUAUGAGUUACAAAGUUCCUAUCCAUACCUCAUUUGUGGGAUCAUAUUGUAUAUAUUUUUAUUGUUGUUAUAAUGAGAUUCGAACUAUUACACAAAAACCUAUUACGAACAGUCUCUUUAUCCUACAAAGGUCAGAAUAAACUCUGCAUAUAUCCCACCCUCCUCAUACCUCAUUUGUAGAAUUGCAUCAAAUAUGCUAUUAGUCUAGCUCAUGACUUCAUCUUAAUCAUUUUAUUGUAAACAAUUCAACUGUGGACAAUUCAAGAAGUAGGUGGAGAAAAACUUUGAAGUUUACAAUCACAAAUUUCUUUGUUGUUUCUUUUGUAUUUGCAUCUUGCUUUCUGCUAUUGUUAUUUUAUUUCAAUAUUGCGAUUUCACUUCUUUUGAACUGAGGGUUUGUCGAAGACCACUCUUAUCUCACAUAAUUUACGAAAAAUGGUUUGCAUAUAUUUACUCUCCUCAACUCCCAGUUGUGGAAUAUGUUAUUUUUAUUGUUACUUUGCUACCUUUGAGUAUGCCACUUCAAGAACACCCCUUUCAAUCGGUUACUUGCCACCUACUCUUGAAGAUGGUAGUUUGAUCAAUUUAUUUUCUCCAUUUGGUACCAUUGUGAUGGCUAAAGUUGUAAAGGAUCGUCUAAGUGGUAUGAGUAAAGGUUACGGAUUUGUUAAGUUUGCUGAUGUUGAACAAGCUAAUAGUGCGAUAACUAGCAUAAAUGGCCACCGUCUUAUAGGAAGAUCAAUUGCUGUGAGAGUUGCAGGUAAGCUGCCUCAGCCUUUGUUCCUCCAGGACCUGCACCAGUAAUACCUUCAUACCGGGUUCCUAAUCAGGGCAUGGGCGCAUAUCCAUUCCAACCAUACGUAGCGGGUGGUCCUAUUGUGAAUGCUUCACCUGGUGCUCUAGCUCCAUGGGGACCACCUGUGCCUCCACCAUAUGACCAGUACCCACCUCCUCCUCCUGGCUCAACCAUGUAUCCUUCUGUCCCAGGUCAACCCAUCCCUCCAUAUGGAAUGCAGUAUCCUUCUCCUAUUCCAGCAGCAUCAUCUGGUUCCCCAUGCUCAGACUGUUUCUUCCAGUGAACAAACUUAUACAUCGUCUGGCAAGGCACAACAAAUCUAUCCUCCUUGAGUGCAAUCUUAGAAUAGUGCACCAGCUCCUUCGGUUCCUACUUACGUGUAUGGAAGUUUUGUCACACCUAAUGCUCAACCUACAUACCAGACAUCUUAAUACAAUUAUCCAUCUUAUUAUGGUUACACAUUACCACCUCCUUCCCGAUCUGCAUCCCAGUCCAAUGGGAACCAUUCACAGGGUAUGAGUAAUCUUCCCUGGGCUCCAAAUGCGCUAGCUCACACACCUCCAUCAUCUGCGGAGAAGCCUGCUUAUGGUGCAGAUGCAAAAUAUGAGAAGUUUAUGUCAGAAAUGGAGUCAUGAUGCUAUGGCUAUAUCACCCUGCACUAUUAGGUUGGAAAAUUUCUUACCAAGUCUGUUCCAAAUUUUCUAUUUGGUCUCCUCUAUGUUGUUUGGUGUUUACUUUUCAGGCAUUUACACAUGUAUACAUCCUCAUCCUCACGCAUAUGCUCUACCAUGAACAACGAGAAUUCUUAACUAAUUUUACCAAGGUUUUUUCAAACUUCAAUGAAUGACGUAUUUUCCAUUUUUACAAGAAAAAGGCAACGUGUGUGUGUUAUGUGAAGAAUGCUUAACUCUAUGUUUUGAGAUCAGAAGUGAAAACCAUUUCAUGAGAUUAUAAGAAAGAAACACAGCAGACCGCUUAUUCUCCAGGAACUGAACUCUCUCUAUAUGUGUGUGUAUUGGUUUGUAUGUUCAUGAAUUCCUGAAAAUAUGGGAUUUGUUUCAAAGCUUGUACCCGACCCACAAAUACUUGGUUGCUUCUUUAGUUCAUCUUUCUUUUUCUCCCCCUUUCUGUUCACUUUUUCUUUUGAUAAUUUUCAUUCUUAAAACUUCUCGUUAUUAACAUUGUAAUAUUUUGGCAGGGCUGAUGUGUUAGAGAAUUUCACCUGAUUUCUUUCCUCUUGCCAUGAUUAGUUGUUGGAAAUUUCAGACUCACAUCUUUAACCUUGUUGUACUGUUAUGCAGAGAGAUGAGACACUCAGUUCAUUCAGCUUGUGUUGCAGCAUUAAAUCAGUGGAUUAUGGAUAUUGUGCAUUUUGUAGGAUCCAUUCUGGGGAUUGCCUUCAAGCAUUGUUUUUUAAAUUUUAUUUUAAUGAUUUAUUGGAAUUUCUUGAUGACUAAUCACUGAUAGUUUGUGUUUCAAUCCAAUCAGUGUUAUGUUUCUCCAAAUUCUAUUUUUCAUUCUUUUUGUUAGACACUGCUUAUAUGUCAUUACUAAAUGACUAUUGAAACGUAUCCAACAAUUGAAGAUUGCA
Capsicum annuum is the source of this 3510-nucleotide RNA transcript. RefSeq lists it as uncharacterized. The transcript is spliced from 5 exons. Lineage: Eukaryota; Viridiplantae; Streptophyta; Magnoliopsida; Solanales; Solanaceae. The record is from RefSeq and is a predicted model, not a curated record.